This 425-nucleotide ribosomal RNA is filed under the name uncultured prokaryote. Its description in RNAcentral is "bacterial SSU rRNA". It matches the Rfam family "Bacterial small subunit ribosomal RNA", at positions 355 to 774 of the family's 1533-position model. The record is from RNAcentral.
UGGGGAAUCAUGGUCAAUGGGCGAAAGCCUGAACCUGCGACGCCGCGUGAGUGAUGAAGGUCGUAAGAUCGUAAAACUCUUUUCAGGGAUCUUAAAGCCUGUCUGUCAACAACAGGCAGGUCUGACUCUCCCUGGAAGAAGCCCCAGCCAACUCCGUGCCAGCAGCUGCGGUAAUACGUAGGGGGCGAGCGUUAUUCGGAAUUACUGGGUGUAAAGGGUAUGUAGGCGGCCCUGCAAGGCGCGGGUGAAAGGAAAGGGCGCAACGCUGGGGGGGCACUUGAUACUGACGGGCUUGAGUGCUGGAGAGGUGAGCGGAGGGCCCGGUGUAGUGGUAAAAUACGUAGAGAUCGGGAGGAACACCAGCGGCGCAGGCGGCUCACUAGACAGUUUCUGACGCUAAGAUACGAAAGCGUGGGGAGCAAACA